RNAcentral lists this signal recognition particle RNA (148 nucleotides) under Gorilla gorilla gorilla (western lowland gorilla). RNAcentral describes it as "Metazoan signal recognition particle RNA". It matches the Rfam family "Metazoan signal recognition particle RNA". From Rfam's summary of the family: The signal recognition particle (SRP) is a universally conserved ribonucleoprotein. The record is from Rfam by way of RNAcentral. Lineage: Eukaryota; Metazoa; Chordata; Mammalia; Primates; Hominidae.
GCCGGGCAUGGUGGCGCGUGCCUGUAGUCCCAGCUACUCGGGAGGCUGAGGCAGAAGAAUCGCUUGAACCCAGGAGGCAGAGGUUGCAGUGAGCUGAGAUUAUGCCACUGCACUCCAACCUGGGCAACAGAGUGAGACUCUGUCUCAA